RNAcentral lists this ribosomal RNA (672 nucleotides) under Isoptericola sp. RNAcentral describes it as "bacterial SSU rRNA". It matches the Rfam family "Bacterial small subunit ribosomal RNA", at positions 63 to 749 of the family's 1533-position model. The record is from RNAcentral. Lineage: Bacteria; Bacillati; Actinomycetota; Actinomycetes; Micrococcales; Promicromonosporaceae.
CGAACGGUGAAGCCCAGCUUGCUGGGUGGAUCAGUGGCGAACGGGUGAGUAACACGUGAGCAACCUGCCCUCCACUUCGGGAUAAGCCCUGGAAACGGGGUCUAAUACCGGAUAUGAGCUUCCACCGCAUGGUGGGGGUUGGAAAGUUUUUCGGUGGGGGAUGGGCUCGCGGCCUAUCAGCUUGUUGGUGGGGUGAUGGCCUACCAAGGCGUCGACGGGUAGCCGGCCUGAGAGGGCGACCGGCCACACUGGGACUGAGACACGGCCCAGACUCCUACGGGAGGCAGCAGUGGGGAAUAUUGCACAAUGGGCGCAAGCCUGAUGCAGCGACGCCGCGUGAGGGAUGACGGCCUUCGGGUUGUAAACCUCUUUCAGCAGGGAAGAAGCGCAAGUGACGGUACCUGCAGAAGAAGCGCCGGCUAACUACGUGCCAGCAGCCGCGGUAAUACGUAGGGCGCAAGCGUUGUCCGGAAUUAUUGGGCGUAAAGAGCUCGUAGGCGGUCUGUCGCGUCUGGUGUGAAAACCCGAGGCUCAACCUCGGGCUGGCAUCGGGUACGGGCGGACUAGAGUGCUGUAGGGGAGACUGGAAUUCCUGGUGUAGCGGUGGAAUGCGCAGAUAUCAGGAGGAACACCGAUGGCGAAGGCAGGUCUCUGGGCAGUUACUGACGCUGA